RNAcentral lists this ribosomal RNA (433 nucleotides) under uncultured bacterium. RNAcentral's name for it is "partial 16S ribosomal RNA". It matches the Rfam family "Bacterial small subunit ribosomal RNA", at positions 29 to 507 of the family's 1533-position model. The record is from RNAcentral.
AACGAACGCUGGCGGCAUGCCUAACACAUGCAAGUCGAACGAGACCUUCGGGUAUAGUGGCGCACGGGUGCGUAACGCGUGGGAACCUGCCCUUAGGUUCGGAAUAACUCCCCGAAAGGGGUGCUAAUACCGGAUAAUGUCUUCGGACCAAAGAUUUAUCGCCGUUGGAUGGGCCCGCGUUGGAUUAGCUAGUUGGUAGGGUAAAAGCCUACCAAGGCGACGAUCCAUAGCUGGUCUGAGAGGAUGAUCAGCCACACUGGGACUGAGACACGGCCCAGACUCCUACGGGAGGCAGCAGUGGGGAAUAUUGGACAAUGGGCGAAAGCCUGAUCCAGCAAUGCCGCGUGAGUGAUGAAGGCCUUAGGGUUGUAAAGCUCUUUUACCCGGGAUGAUAAUGACAGUACCGGGAGAAUAAGCUCCGGCUAACUCCGUG